RNAcentral lists this long non-coding RNA (4555 nucleotides) under Triticum aestivum (bread wheat). RNAcentral's name for it is "long non-coding RNA (TAES_LNC006795)". The stretch from base 1931 to 2056 matches the Rfam family "MIR1120/MIR1122 microRNA precursor family". The record is from RNAcentral. Lineage: Eukaryota; Viridiplantae; Streptophyta; Magnoliopsida; Poales; Poaceae.
CCUCUUCUGAAUCCUGCAAAUCAAAUCGUUCCUUUGCUUCUGAGGUUUAUUUAUUAAUUAUUGGUUUUCUGCGUUUCCUCCCACGUGAUCUUGUGUUCCUUGGUUUGUUCUGCUAUGAAACUUACCCUUUGAUGUUCAGGCAUCUUGGAUUUGCCUGUGUUGCAUUAGUUGUCUUGUGAAGAAGAUGUUCAAGUCCUGAUGCAAAGGGAACAACCGUCAACUCAUGGUAAUCGUUAUAUUGCUUGUCAAAUCCUUUUUUUUUUGCUUUACUUUAUAAUACUGUGAUGAGAGUUUUUUAACGCACAAACCAGUCAGUCGUUUCUUACCUUGCGAUCACUACAAUAUACUACCAGUCACUUAGUUUUUAAGGCAUAGCUUUUGUAUUGGCAACAUUAAAACUAGGCUGAGUGGCGAUUACUUGGAUUUUCGUCCACAAUUUUUGUUUUCCUCAAUUAGCCCAUGCCACAUCCCUUCUACAACUAACAUAACACAGUACAAAUUAUCCAAGCUAGCACUUACAGAGACUAGUUUUAUGUAACCAAAGAACCCUUACAUGCAUGCAACUUACCAGCGUGUUUCAAGGUUCCAGUAAUUCUAAUAAACUCAGUAUCUCUGCGCUUUAAAGGUUUAGAUACAUGUUCAGAAAUUCAGGUAGGCUAUUACCACUAGGCACUCUAUAGAUCAUAUCUUCCCAGAACACACAUCCAUCCAAUCAAUUUCUGCUAAGACACUAACAGAUUAAAGUCUUCCACCACAUGGACAUUUGUUGUCAUGACAGAAAAACUGGACAGUUUUCUCUACUAAUAUUCUUGCUCGUUCAAAGAUGUAUAUGAUAGCCACCAGAAGACAAAAUUUGCAGUAGCAAAAAAUUCACGGAAUCAUUGUUCAGCAGAACUAAUUAUUAAAAUUGAUCGCCUUGUUUUUUGGACCUCCUCCUGAACGUUGAUUGCCUUGUUUUCGGACCUCCUCCUGAAUGAGCAUUGCUUAAACCUGCAAGCACAAAAGAUAUACUCACUAUGAGUAAAUCAAAGUAUUCAACAUAAAAAAAAAUAAACCAUCAUAUAAAGCAAUAAAUGAUCAUAAUAAACGGUUAAUUUCCAGUUCUAAGUGCCUGUGCAAUUCCACCUUGUUACAUCUAAGCUCAUUUCAAGUUUGAUUUAAUUACAGGGAUAAAGCAGUCUGAUACUGUAUUGGCUCCACCAAGCCAGUGGGAUCUUGUGUCAGAUAAAACAAAUGAUGCAGGAGGAGCAACCAUUGCAGGUGAAUUAGCAUGAUGUCCGCCUUAACCUUUUCUACAAUGCAUAGAACUAGUGGUUAUGUUGCGACCUUUGUGCUUUAUCAUCCCCCUCACAGUGAACUAAUAAUAAAUUAAAUUCUGCCGUGAUGGUCGCUAGAUGCACGAAGAUAAUAAGUCCAAAUACUGAUGAUGCCAAAUAAGUCCCAAGCAACCAUAUCUUCUUGAGGUUGUAUGUUGACUUAUUGUGGUGGCAUAUUGCAGUUUGUGGUCGGUCUGGGGGACAAAGUUCCCCCCACCGACAUUGAGGAAGGAAUUAGAGUUGGACAAGGUGUUGCUUUUGUAUCUGAUUAUGCCUUGUGUCAAAAUGCUUCUCUCUAAUGAUUGUGUGUAGCUGUAAAGGUGAACCCCUUUCUGUGCUAAUCUAGAAUAAAGUUGUUAAUAACAACUCCUCCAUUCACUAAGAUAAGACCGUUUAGCUAUUUCUAUAUCGGUGACUACAUAUAUACUAAAAUGAGUGAACAUAUAUACUAAAAUGUGUCUAGAUACAUACGGAUCAAGAAAAAGCGAAAAUGUAUGGAGUAUUUUUGAGUGCUAAGCUACAUCACUGUUAUGCAUUAACUGACUGGGUACUACUUCCAAAGAAUCAUCUAAAUGUAAUCCUUCAAUUGACCUGUGGCUAUUACCUACUAGUAUGAUCUACUCCCUCCGUCCGAAAAUGCUUGUCCCUCAAAUGGAUGUAUCUAGCACCAAGUUAGAGCUAGAUAUAUCCAUCUAGAGGGACAAGCUUGACAAAGCUUUUUCGGACGGAGGGAUUAUCGAUUAGCACUAGGAUUUGGCACAAUGUAAAUAAGCAACAGUUGAUGUAGUUUUCUUGCUGCAAGGAGUUAUGCUAUGUUUAUGCUUUGUGUCCACACUUUCAGUUGACUAAUAGAUUCUGGGCAGUUUGAUUUUUAACAAGACUAGAUAAGGAUUCAGUUGACUUACAGAUUCUGGGCAGCAUGGAUUUCGAGUCGCUCGACUAGUUGCGACUAGUCGACGACUAGUCUAUGAGUCGCAAAAAUAUGGUCGACUCAGCUUAGUGUCGACUCGUGACUCUUAGUCGCGACUAGUCACAACGCAGGCUCGACUUCUUCCGAGUCACUGCCCCAGAGCAACUCGCAUGAGUCGCGACUCGAAAACCAUGCUGGGCAGUUUGAUUUUUAACAAGACUAGAGAAUGAUUCAGUUGACUUAUAGAUUCUGGGCUGUUUGAUUUUUACCAAGACUAGAUAAUGAUAAUAUAAGCUUACAGCAUCAAUAUGCAAAAAGGAGAAGUAUUACUUAAUGAGCACCUUAAAUGCAACACAUCACUUUACCCAAGGUAAAGCAAUACUGGAGGAAGGAUUACACUUUACUUGCUGUUGUGUCUGGUGGUACCUAUAGUGCUGGGGCUUAUAUGAUUCCGCGCAUUGAUUAAUAUUCUGAUUUUGCUAUGCCGAGACUCUGCUUUAGUGCCUGAUGCCCAGGAUUCUUAAUUAUUUGUGCUCACAGGUUAUAUUCGAUGCACUGCAUACCAAGUUAAGCUACCGGCCAGCCAUUUAGGACCAAAUGAAGCAAUUCAAAAGUUGUGCUACAUAAAUAGGUUCUUUGACUUGUAAGUCAAAAAUCAAAAGUUACAAGUUAAGCAUAACCAAACACUGGGAAUGGCCGCACCAAAGGUAAGAAAAGGUGACAUCAUCUGAAAGUUAGCAUAUACAUUUUGCUAGAUAUAUCAUUUUAACUUUUAGAAUAACUACAGUCAGCACUUUUGCAAAACUGAUUGGUUUAUGAAAAAAACACAUGCGAAUUUACACUGCACUUAUCAUUUAUGAGCCCAUUUCGUGGUGACAUGUGUAUGUUAUUAGCUUUAAUUAAGCUUGUUUGUCCAUUAAUAAAACCUGAUGAGUAUGGCCAUUGUCAGAUAAACAGAUGAUGCAGGAGCAGCUUGUUUGUCCAUUAGUAAAACCUGAUGAGUAUGGCCAUUGUCAGAUAAACAGAUGAUGCAGGAGCAACCUUUAUCUAGAAUGCUUAGAAGUAGUGGUUAUGUUGUUACCUUUGCGCUUUAUCAUCUCCCUCACAGUUACGUAAUAAUAAAUUAAAUUCUGUUGUGAUGGUCCCUAGGUGCUUGAAAAUAACAAGUCCAAAUAUUGAUGAUGCCAAAUGUUGUGAAAAACAAAUCGCAAAGGUAUGUCAUUAUUGUACUAUGUUAUGCCAAUUGUAUCUUGUGGAGAUGAUUCCUUGCAGGAGGAUGACAUUUAAACAGUCGAUGAAGUAAGGAGCACAAAGGUCCAGAGGUGAAUUUAUGCCCUGGUUAUGCAAAUCUGCUAGUAAGAUUGAAGCAAGCGAUGCAACCCGCUGAUGUGGAGCAAACUUUGAUUAACAAGUGAUGGUACAAGCUAAUGUAUGUAUGUUUUGGGCUGCUGAUGCACCAGUGUAGCAUGUUAUAAAAUUUCUGCAAGGUUACCUGGAUGUUGUGUUUAUUGGAAUUUUCCUUCCAACUGUUUGUGCAACAAGCGGCGCUCGUCUCUGCAAAACAAUUUGUAGAUAUUGAUACCAAAGAUGAAAAAAGAAUGUGUAGAGAGAAUUAAUGGUAAAACAAGGGUUCCAUGUUGAUAUUCAUAGCAGGACAGGACAGAUUAUUAUUUUUCCAAGUCAAGCUGUAGAGAAUGACAGGCAUGAUUUUGUCCUACCUGUGGAUCUGGACGUGAGAAUUCCAGUCUCUUGUUAGCACAGAUCGGUUGCACGAUUCACACUUGAUCUUGAUAUCGGACAGCGAUAGGGCUCUCAACUGGGUAACCUCAUUUUUGGCGUUGAACAGCUCCUCCUUGAGGGCAGCCUUUUCUGCCUUGCAUAGUUUCUUAUCCUCUUUUGGAGGUGAAAUACAUACUACGAGAAAGAAAGAAAUCAUUUACAAGAGCUCAAUCUUGUGAAGGAGCUCUUCCUUUUCCUCUUUGAGCGUCUUCUCAAGAUGAGCGAUUUCUUCUUUCAGCUCAACCUUUUCCUCUGUGUGCUUGCUCUCAGCGUCAGCCCUACAUGCAGUUGCAGUUAGUUAAUUCGGUGGGUAGAUCGAUCACAAUAGAAGAUUCAUCCAUGUAAUGUAAAGCAUGCAGUUGCAGUUAGUUAAUUUGGUGGAUCGAUCGAUCACAAUACAACAUCCAUCCAUCCAUGUAAUAAUAAUGUAAAAAAAGCAGGGGAGGGAGGGAGGGAGGGAGGGAGGGGGUCCAAGACGGACACGUACAUACGCUCCAGCUUGCUCUGCAGCUCUGCCUUCUCAUCUGCGAACAGUAGCUGGUUUUGCUCC